UACGAAGGGGGCAAGCGUUGUUCGGAAUCACUGGGCGUAAAGGGCGCGUAGGCGGUCCUUCAAGUCAGGCGUGAAAGCCCCGGGCUCAACCUGGGAACGGCGCUUGAGACUGGCGGACUGGAGUUCGGGAGAGGAUGGUGGAAUUCCCAGUGUAGAGGUGAAAUUCGUAGAGAUUGGGAAGAACACCGGUGGCGAAGGCGGCGUCCUGGACUGGUACUGACGCUCAGGAGCGAAAGCGUGGGGAGCGAGCCGG
RNAcentral lists this ribosomal RNA (253 nucleotides) under uncultured bacterium. Its description in RNAcentral is "partial 16S ribosomal RNA". It matches the Rfam family "Bacterial small subunit ribosomal RNA", at positions 524 to 776 of the family's 1533-position model. The record is from RNAcentral.